GGUUAAGUUAGAAAGGGCGCACGGUGGAUGCCUUGACACUAGGAGUCGAUGAAGGACGGGACUAACGCCGAUAUGCUUCGGGGAGCUGUAAGUAAGCUUUGAUCCGAAGAUUUCCGAAUGGGGAAACCCACCAUACGUAAUGGUAUGGUAUCCUUAUCUGAAUACAUAGGGUAAGGAAGACAGACCCAGGGAACUGAAACAUCUAAGUACCUGGAGGAAGAGAAAGCAAAUGCGAUUUCCUGAGUAGCGGCGAGCGAAACGGAACAUAGCCCAAACCAAGAGGCUUGCCUCUUGGGGUUGUAGGACAUUCUAUACGGAGUUACAAAGGAACGAGGUAGACGAAGCGACCUGGAAAGGUCCGUCGUAGAGGGUAACAACCCCGUAGUCGAAACUUCGUUCUCUCUUGAAUGUAUCCUGAGUACGGCGGAACACGUGAAAUUCCGUCGGAAUCUGGGAGGACCAUCUCCCAAGGCUAAAUACUCCCUAGUGAUCGAUAGUGAACCAGUACCGUGAGGGAAAGGUGAAAAGCACCCCGGAAGGGGAGUGAAAGAGAUCCUGAAACCGUGUGCCUACAAAUAGUCAGAGCCCGUUAACGGGUGAUGGCGUGCCUUUUGUAGAAUGAACCGGCGAGUUACGAUCCCGUGCGAGGUUAAGCUGAAGAGGCGGAGCCGCAGCGAAAGCGAGUCUGAAUAGGGCGUUUAGUACGUGGUCGUAGACCCGAAACCAGGUGAUCUACCCAUGUCCAGGGUGAAGUUCAGGUAACACUGAAUGGAGGCCCGAACCCACGCACGUUGAAAAGUGCGGGGAUGAGGUGUGGGUAGCGGAGAAAUUCCAAUCGAACCUGGAGAUAGCUGGUUCUCCCCGAAAUAGCUUUAGGGCUAGCCUUAAGUGUAAGAGUCUUGGAGGUAGAGCACUGAUUGGACUAGGGGUCCUCAUCGGAUUACCGAAUUCAGUCAAACUCCGAAUGCCAAUGACUUAUCCUUAGGAGUCAGACUGCGAGUGAUAAGAUCCGUAGUCAAAAGGGAAACAGCCCAGACCGCCAGCUAAGGUCCCAAAGUGUGUAUUAAGUGGAAAAGGAUGUGGAGUUGCUUAGACAACUAGGAUGUUGGCUUAGAAGCAGCCACCAUUUAAAGAGUGCGUAAUAGCUCACUAGUCGAGUGACUCUGCGCCGAAAAUGUACCGGGGCUAAAUACACCACCGAAGCUGCGGAUUGAUACCAAUGGUAUCAGUGGUAGGGGAGCGUUCUAAGGACAGUGAAGUCAGACCGUAAGGACUGGUGGAGUGCUUAGAAGUGAGAAUGCCGGUAUGAGUAGCGAAAGACGGGUGAGAAUCCCGUCCACCGAAUGCCUAAGGUUUCCUGAGGAAGGCUCGUCCGCUCAGGGUUAGUCAGGACCUAAGCCGAGGCCGACAGGCGUAGGCGAUGGACAACAGGUUGAUAUUCCUGUACCACCUCUUUAUCGUUUGAGCAAUGGAGGGACGCAGAAGGAUAGAAGAAGCGUGCGAUUGGUUGUGCACGUCCAAGCAGUUAGGCUGAUAAGUAGGCAAAUCCGCUUAUCGUAAAGGCUGAGCUGUGAUGGGGAAGCUCCUUAUGGAGCGAAGUCUUUGAUUCCCCGCUGCCAAGAAAAGCUUCUAGCGAGAUAAAAGGUGCCUGUACCGCAAACCGACACAGGUAGGCGAGGAGAGAAUCCUAAGGUGUGCGAGAGAACUCUGGUUAAGGAACUCGGCAAAAUGACCCCGUAACUUCGGGAGAAGGGGUGCUUUCUUAACGGAAAGCCGCAGUGAAUAGGCCCAAGCGACUGUUUAGCAAAAACACAGCUCUCUGCGAAGCCGUAAGGCGAAGUAUAGGGGGUGACACCUGCCCGGUGCUGGAAGGUUAAGGAGAGGGGUUAGCGUAAGCGAAGCUCUGAACUGAAGCCCCAGUAAACGGCGGCCGUAACUAUAACGGUCCUAAGGUAGCGAAAUUCCUUGUCGGGUAAGUUCCGACCCGCACGAAAGGUGUAACGAUUUGGGCACUGUCUCAACCAGAGACUCGGUGAAAUUAUAGUACCUGUGAAGAUGCAGGUUACCCGCGACAGGACGGAAAGACCCCGUGGAGCUUUACUGUAGCCUGAUAUUGAAUUUUGGUACAGUUUGUACAGGAUAGGCGGGAGCCAUUGAAACCGGAGCGCUAGCUUCGGUGGAGGCGCUGGUGGGAUACCGCCCUGACUGUAUUGAAAUUCUAACCUACGGGUCUUAUCGACCCGGGAGACAGUGUCAGGUGGGCAGUUUGACUGGGGCGGUCGCCUCCUAAAGUGUAACGGAGGCGCCCAAAGGUUCCCUCAGAAUGGUUGGAAAUCAUUCGUAGAGUGCAAAGGCAUAAGGGAGCUUGACUGCGAGACCUACAAGUCGAGCAGGGACGAAAGUCGGGCUUAGUGAUCCGGUGGUUCCGUAUGGAAGGGCCAUCGCUCAACGGAUAAAAGCUACCCCGGGGAUAACAGGCUUAUCUCCCCCAAGAGUCCACAUCGACGGGGAGGUUUGGCACCUCGAUGUCGGCUCAUCGCAUCCUGGGGCUGUAGUCGGUCCCAAGGGUUGGGCUGUUCGCCCAUUAAAGCGGUACGCGAGCUGGGUUCAGAACGUCGUGAGACAGUUCGGUCCCUAUCCGUCGUGGGCGUAGGAAAUUUGAGAGGAGCUGUCCUUAGUACGAGAGGACCGGGAUGGACGCACCGCUGGUGUACCAGUUGUUCUGCCAAGGGCAUAGCUGGGUAGCUAUGUGCGGAAGGGAUAAGUGCUGAAAGCAUCUAAG
This 2782-nucleotide ribosomal RNA is filed under the name Bacillus cereus. Its description in RNAcentral is "bacterial LSU rRNA". It matches the Rfam family "Bacterial large subunit ribosomal RNA". The record is from RNAcentral. Lineage: Bacteria; Bacillati; Bacillota; Bacilli; Caryophanales; Bacillaceae.